Molecule: long non-coding RNA, 798 nt
Organism: Dreissena polymorpha
Lineage: Eukaryota; Metazoa; Mollusca; Bivalvia; Myida; Dreissenidae
Exons: 3
Source: RefSeq, a predicted model, not a curated record
UCUUUUGAUUGGACAUCGUCGACGAUAUGCUUAAUGAUGAUAAAAUACUGUGUUAAAUCUGGAUAUACAAAUCGGUGAAAUAGGAAUCGUUUUGCUUUUUAUAUUUUCUCCUGCACAGAAUAACAUGAAUAAUUUGUUUUGCUAUAGAAGACAAAGGAAAGGACGAAAAUUUCGCAUGUGAGUUGAAAAUUUGAAAGCGAUGUCAGUACAACCAUUAUUUUUAUCUAUCAAAAUGCAGGAGAAACUUAUAAGUGUCUAUUUGAAGUGGAUAUUAGGUCAAACUGCUCAAACUGGAUGGAUUCAAAUCCGAGAGGACGCGACCAACAGCGAUUUAUAUAGAAGGUUUAAACAAUUCAUAGGCUUGGAUUUGGAAGAAGACAGCAUCAGAAUCAUCGUUAACAGUAGUGCGAUUCCGGCAGAUCAUUUACUAAUCAACGACUACAAUAUCAGGGACGGAUCAACCGUUUUGGCCGUGAUGAGACUAAGAGGUAGCUAGAUCAUCAUGGCGUCAAGCGAUGACGUCAUAUCUCCACACAAAGGGAGGACUUUCGCCAGCGAUGAUUUGAAGUUCGCUUUGAAUUUUGUUGAUCUUCGCACAGUGCUUUUUUUAAGAAGCCUUUCUAGAUAAAACCUAUGUAGAUUAAAAGGUUUUAAAAUUUACUUUUGUCUAUAGAUCUUUUGAUACACUCUUUCUUUUCUGUUAAUGUAUCCAUAUUGUAAUCAGUACAAGUUAACAGUGUGCUUUUUGGAACAUUUUGCAUUAAUAUGGUGUAAAAAAUAGUACACUGAAAUACUGCA